This is a non-coding RNA of Leptonychotes weddellii (Weddell seal), 1110 nucleotides long. The record is from RefSeq and is a predicted model, not a curated record. NCBI's taxonomy places the organism in Eukaryota, Metazoa, Chordata, Mammalia, Carnivora, Phocidae.
AACUAUGCCAUUUUUGGGUCAGGACUGGAGAUCUCCUGGAUGGAGCUGGAUUAAGACAGAAGAUGGCUGGAAGAGAUGUGAAUCCUGGAGUCGGGACCUGGAAAGAGAGACUAACCCGCGUACUAUCAGUCACAGCAUUAUCUUAAAUAGUGACGAUGAAGAAAUAUUCAGUAAUGAAGAGCAGGAAUACACAUCCAAAAAGAGGAAAAAGGAUCAUUUUAGAAAUGAUACAGAUACUCAAUGUUUUUAUCGUGAGAAAUGGAUCUAUGUCCAUAAAGAAAGCACGAGAGAAAGGCACGGCUAUUGUACUUUGGGAGAAGCUUUUAAUCGCUUAGACUUCUCAAGUGCAAUUCAGGAUAUUCGAAGGUUCACCUACGUGGUCAAAGUAAGUCUUCUGUUUCAAAAGCCAUUUCGAGGACACUUGAUGGGCUGGGUUUUGAAGGUGACGAGUGUACAUAUUCAAGACGCUUCUGGCGCUGGUGCUAAGUUGUGUUUGUGACGGCAGGCAGAGCACGAGGAGUGAGCUCAGGAGGAGAUGGAAAUAGUGGGGGUUUCUCCCACGCUGGUGCCCCUCGUCCCACGCGCUUUCUCCUGGGGCCGCCCCAUGUUGCCAGUUUCACCCAGCCGCAUGCGCAGGUGCAUUGCCGUGGGAGACCCGGGGGGUGAGCACAGGCUCUUCCCGAGACUCUGACCUGAUGGUUUCACCUGCAUUUUCCACUCUGUGUCCCCCACAAGCGUGAGCUCUGCUCCAGAGACAAGCAGCGAGCUGGUAGGAGAAAGGGGAUUGACACAGAGUGGGUCUCCACAGAAGCCUGGAUUGCACCUUGAUGGCACUGAUGAUCUGUUUGUAGAGGACAUUUUUAUCUUGGCUCAAAAAGAAUAUAUAUCCUAUGUAAUGUGUAUUACAGGCAAAGUUUCCUUAACGGCUUCCAGGGAAUUAAAAGUGUUAGUGGCAGGACAGAAAUACUAGGGUUAAAUCACUUUACACCUAAUGUAAUAGUACCUGUUUGGUUUGGCCCCAGUCAGAGCUUGCCAGGGCGCCGUGUGUGACCAGUGUGUGGGGGCCCGUCUGCUGCCCAUGCUUCCUGGGAGUCCCGCUCUCUGGGCUGA